This 436-nucleotide ribosomal RNA is filed under the name Streptococcus mitis. RNAcentral describes it as "bacterial SSU rRNA". It matches the Rfam family "Bacterial small subunit ribosomal RNA", at positions 28 to 456 of the family's 1533-position model. The record is from RNAcentral. Lineage: Bacteria; Bacillati; Bacillota; Bacilli; Lactobacillales; Streptococcaceae.
GACGAACGCUGGCGGCGUGCCUAAUACAUGCAAGUAGAACGCUGAAGGAGGAGCUUGCUUCUCUGGAUGAGUUGCGAACGGGUGAGUAACGCGUAGGUAACCUGCCUGGUAGCGGGGGAUAACUAUUGGAAACGAUAGCUAAUACCGCAUAAUAGCAGUUGUUGCAUGAUAACUGUUUGAAAGGUGCAAUUGCACCACUACCAGAUGGACCUGCGUUGUAUUAGCUAGUUGGUGGGGUAACGGCUCACCAAGGCGACGAUACAUAGCCGACCUGAGAGGGUGAUCGGCCACACUGGGACUGAGACACGGCCCAGACUCCUACGGGAGGCAGCAGUAGGGAAUCUUCGGCAAUGGACGGAAGUCUGACCGAGCAACGCCGCGUGAGUGAAGAAGGUUUUCGGAUCGUAAAGCUCUGUUGUAAGAGAAGAACGAGUGG